GAAAAGGGACUCCGGUCCCUGGGACAAGCCCCCGCCGAGCCCCUGGGCUCCCCGGGUGGUGACACCCCUUACCCUUUGUUUACCUUACCUCUGUUGCUUUGGCAAGGCUCCUGCCCGGGUGGUUCCGGGCUUCAGCUCUGCCAGAGGACCAAACUCUGUCAUUUAUGUCGUCUGAUUACUAUUUAAUAGUUAAAACUUUCAACAACGGAUCUCUUGGUUCU
Molecule: unclassified non-coding RNA, 221 nt
Filed under: rhizosphere metagenome
Description: partial ribosomal RNA internal transcribed spacer region
Source: RNAcentral